GCCUAGCCCUAAACCUUGGUAAUAUAUCACAUACCCUGCCCGCCUGGGAACUACGAGCACCAGCUUAAAACCCAAAGGACUUGGCGGUGCUUUAGACCCCCCUAGAGGAGCCUGUUCUAGAACCGAUAACCCCCGUUCAACCUCACCCUUCCUUGUUUAUCCCGCCUAUAUACCGCCGUCGUCAGCUUACCCUGUGAAGGCCUAAAAGUAAGCACAACUGGUACAACCCAAAACGUCAGGUCGAGGUGUAGCGCAUGGAAGGGGAAGAAAUGGGCUACAUUCCCUACAUUAGGGAACACGAACGGCGCACUGAAACACGCGCCUGAAGGAGGAUUUAGUAGUAAGCGGAAAAUAGCGUGUUCCACUGAAAUCGGCCCUGAAGCGCGC
Molecule: ribosomal RNA, 387 nt
Filed under: Sebastes melanostomus (blackgill rockfish)
Lineage: Eukaryota; Metazoa; Chordata; Actinopteri; Perciformes; Sebastidae
Description: partial 12S ribosomal RNA
Rfam family: Bacterial small subunit ribosomal RNA
Source: RNAcentral